This 518-nucleotide ribosomal RNA is filed under the name uncultured bacterium. Its description in RNAcentral is "partial 16S ribosomal RNA". It matches the Rfam family "Bacterial small subunit ribosomal RNA", at positions 29 to 523 of the family's 1533-position model. The record is from RNAcentral.
AACGAACGCUGGCGGCGCGCCUAACACAUGCAAGUCGAGCGUGAAAGGGAGCAAUCCCAAGUAAAGCGGCGCACGGGUGAGUAACACGUGGGUAAUCUGCCCCAGGUGAUCGGGAUAACCAGCCGAAAGGUUGGCUAAUACCGGAUCAGACCACGGGACCUUCGGGUCCUGCGGUGAAAGGGCGGCUCCGCAAGGAGCUGUCGCCCUGGGAUGAGCCCGCGGCCCAUCAUGCUAGUUGGUAGGGUAACGGCCUACCAAGGCGAAGACGGGUAGCUGGUCUGAGAGGACGAUCAGCCACACUGGAACUGGGACACGGUCCAGACUCCUACGGGAGGUAGCAGUGGGGAAUCUUGCGCAAUGGACGAAAGUCUGACGCAGCGACGCCGCGUGUGGGAUGAAGGCCUUCGGGUCGUAAACCACUGUCGCGAGGGACGAACAAGGUGCCGGUAAAUAAUCGGCGCCCCUGACGGUACCUCGAGAGGAAGCAACGGCUAACUCUGUGCCAGCCGCCGCAGUAA